Molecule: ribosomal RNA, 158 nt
Filed under: Neoacrodontiella eucalypti
Lineage: Eukaryota; Fungi; Ascomycota; Lecanoromycetes; Acarosporales; Acarosporaceae
Description: 5.8S ribosomal RNA
Rfam family: 5.8S ribosomal RNA
About the family: 5.8S ribosomal RNA (5.8S rRNA) is a component of the large subunit of the eukaryotic ribosome.
Source: RNAcentral
CAACUUUCAACAACGGAUCUCUUGGUUCUGGCAUCGAUGAAGAACGCAGCGAAAUGCGAUAAGUAAUGUGAAUUGCAGAAUUUUGUGAAUCAUCGAAUCUUUGAACGCACAUUGCACCUUUUGGUAUUCCGAAAGGUAUGCUUGUUCGAGCGUCGUUU